RNAcentral lists this unclassified non-coding RNA (250 nucleotides) under uncultured fungus. RNAcentral's name for it is "sequence contains ITS2". The record is from RNAcentral. Lineage: Eukaryota; Fungi.
CUACCACAAGUCGACGACGUCCUUGCAAAAGGAUGUGCAGUCGGACAUUGAGCCUUGCCGGCCGUUCGCGGCUAAGCUGGCUUCAAAUAGAGCGAGAUACACAGCGAUCCUUCUGACACAUCAGGAGUGAUUUGUGACGUGGAUAACUUCACUACUCGUGAACCUUCCAAUACGUGACAGUCUCUCAUUCAACUGCUGUGCUAGUGGAAAGCAACGUGUGUUGGAUCGUCAUUCGUGACAACUCUUUUGA